This 513-nucleotide ribosomal RNA is filed under the name uncultured bacterium. RNAcentral describes it as "partial 16S ribosomal RNA". It matches the Rfam family "Bacterial small subunit ribosomal RNA", at positions 28 to 523 of the family's 1533-position model. The record is from RNAcentral.
GACGAACGCUGGCGGCAUGCCUAAUACAUGCAAGUCGAGCGAACAGAUGAAGUGCUUGCACUUCUGACGUUAGCGGCGAACGGGUGAGUAACACGUAAGGAAUCUACCUAUAAGCGGGGGAUAACAUUCGGAAACGGGUGCUAAUACCGCAUAAUAUCUUCUUCCGCAUGGAAGAAGAUUGAAAGACGGCUCUGCUGUCACUUAUAGAUGACCUUGCGGUGCAUUAGUUAGUUGGUGGGGUAAUAGCCUACCAAGACGAUGAUGCAUAGCCGACCUGAGAGGGUGUUCGGCCACAUUGGGACUAAGACAAGGCCCAAACUCCUACGGGAGGCAGCAGUAGGGAAUCUUCAGCAAUGGGCGAAAGCCUGACGGAGCAAUGCCGCGUGAGUGAAGAAGGCCUUCGGGUCGUAAAACUCUGUUAUAAGAGAAGAACAAAUUGUAGAGUAACUGCUACAGUCUUGACGGUAUCUUAUCAGAAAGCCACGGCUAACUACGUGCCAGCCGCCGCAGUAA